UAGCCCAGGAUUUGGGUAGGCAGCAUUCAAUCCUUCUCUGCCUUUUUCCGUCAACCGUUGAGGUCUUUCUUCUGAAACAGAGAAGAAAUACACAAAUCAGACUUGUCCUCUUGGAAAUGUGGUCCAGAUUUCUCUACUCCCAAGCUCCAAAAAC
Unclassified non-coding RNA from Cavia aperea (Brazilian guinea pig), 154 nucleotides. The record is from Ensembl. Lineage: Eukaryota; Metazoa; Chordata; Mammalia; Rodentia; Caviidae.